This is a small nucleolar RNA of Tachyglossus aculeatus (Australian echidna), 138 nucleotides long. NCBI's taxonomy places the organism in Eukaryota, Metazoa, Chordata, Mammalia, Monotremata, Tachyglossidae. The record is from RefSeq and is a predicted model, not a curated record.
GUCCCCUCAGGAUCACAUCUGGAGAGUUUUCAGUCCUCUACCAGUCUUGAUUACGGGAGGAAGAGUCAAGCAGGGAAAUAUCCAUUCCAUUCCUAGUUUGGGCGGUGGCUAGAGAGUGGAAGGCAAACUGCUCCAAGU